RNAcentral lists this ribosomal RNA (457 nucleotides) under uncultured Lachnospiraceae bacterium. RNAcentral describes it as "bacterial SSU rRNA". It matches the Rfam family "Bacterial small subunit ribosomal RNA", at positions 98 to 572 of the family's 1533-position model. Lineage: Bacteria; Bacillati; Bacillota; Clostridia; Lachnospirales; Lachnospiraceae. The record is from RNAcentral.
GCGGACGGGUGAGUAACGCGUGGGUAACCUGCCUCAUACAGGGGGAUAGCAGCUGGAAACGGCUGGUAAUACCGCAUAAGCGCACAGUACCACAUGGUACAGUGUGAAAAACUCCGGUGGUAUGAGAUGGACCCGCGUCUGAUUAGCUUGUUGGCGGGGUAACGGCCCACCAAGGCGACGAUCAGUAACCGACCUGAGAGGGUGACCGGCCACUAUUGGGACUGAGACACGGCCCAGACUCCUACGGGAGGCAGCAGUGGGGAAUAUUGCACAAUGGAGGAAACUCUGAUGCAGCGACGCCGCGUGAGUGAAGAAGUAGUUCGCUAUGUAAAGCUCUAUCAGCAGGGAAGAUAGUGACGGUACCUGACUAAGAAGCUCCGGCUAGAUACGUGCCAGCAGCCGCGGUAAUACGUAUGGAGCAAGCGUCAUCCGGAUUUACUGGGUGUAAAGGGAGUGU